Molecule: unclassified non-coding RNA, 216 nt
Filed under: uncultured Actinomycetes bacterium
Lineage: Bacteria; Bacillati; Actinomycetota; Actinomycetes
Description: uncultured actinobacterium contains 16S-23S intergenic spacer region
Source: RNAcentral
UCCGAGUUGACCCCGGCGGUCUCCCGUGAGUCCCCAGCACCACAAGGGCCUGCUGGCAACACGGGACAAGGGUUGCGCUCGUUGCGGGACUUAACCCAACAUCUCACGACACGAGCUGACGACAGCCAUGCACCACCUGCACACAGGCCACAAGGGAACCGACAUCUCUGCCGGCGUCCUGUGCAUGUCAAGCCCAGGUAAGGUGGGGAUGACGUG